Molecule: ribosomal RNA, 457 nt
Filed under: uncultured bacterium
Lineage: Bacteria
Description: bacterial SSU rRNA
Rfam family: Bacterial small subunit ribosomal RNA
Source: RNAcentral
UACGGGAGGCAGCAGUGGGGAAUAUUGCACAAUGGGCGAAAGCCUGAUGCAGCUAUGCCGCGUGUAUGAAGAAGGCCUUAGGGUUGUAAAGUACUUUCAUCGGGGAGGAAAAAACAAAACUAAUAAUUUUAUUUCUUGACGUUACCCGAAAAAGAAGCACCGGCUAACUCCGUGCCAGCAGUCGCGGUAAUACGGAGGGUGCUAGCGUUAAUCAGAAUUACUGGGCGUAAAGAGCACGUAGGUGGUUUUUUUAAAGUCAGAUGUGAAAUCCCUGGGCUUAACCUAGGAACUGCAUUUUGAAACUGAAAUACUAGAGUAUCGUAGAGGGAGGUAGAAUUCUAGGUGUAGCGGUGAAAUGCGUAGAUAUCUGGAGGAAUACCUGUGGCGAAAGCGGCCUCCUAAACGAAUACUGACACUGAGGUGCGAAAGCGUGGGGAGCAAACAGGGAUUAGAUACC